UACGUAGGGGGCAAGCGUUAUCCGGAUUUACUGGGUGUAAAGGGGGCGCAGACGGCGAUGCAAGCCAGGAGUGAAAGCCCGGGGCCCAACCCCGGGACUGCUCUUGGAACUGCGUGGCUGGAGUGCAGGAGGGGCAGGCGGAAUUCCUGGUGUAGCGGUGAAAUGCGUAGAUAUUAGGAGGAACACCAGUGGCGAAGGCGGCCUACUGGACGGUGACUGACGCUGAGGCUCGAAAGCGUGGGGAGCAAACAGG
Molecule: ribosomal RNA, 253 nt
Filed under: uncultured bacterium
Lineage: Bacteria
Description: partial 16S ribosomal RNA
Rfam family: Bacterial small subunit ribosomal RNA
Source: RNAcentral